RNAcentral lists this ribosomal RNA (684 nucleotides) under uncultured bacterium. RNAcentral's name for it is "bacterial SSU rRNA". It matches the Rfam family "Bacterial small subunit ribosomal RNA", at positions 64 to 765 of the family's 1533-position model. The record is from RNAcentral.
GAGCGAGUGGAGUUCUUCGGAACAAAGCUAGCGGCGGACGGGUGAGUAACACGUGGGCAACCUGCCUCAUAGAGGGGAAUAGCCUUCCGAAAGGGAGAUUAAUACCGCAUAAGAUUGUAGCUUCGCAUGAAGUAGCAAUUAAAGGAGCAAUCCGCUAUGAGAUGGGCCCGCGGCGCAUUAGCUAGUUGGUGAGGUAACGGCUCACCAAGGCGACGAUGCGUAGCCGACCUGAGAGGGUGAUCGGCCACAUUGGGACUGAGACACGGCCCAGACUCCUACGGGAGGCAGCAGUGGGGAAUAUUGCACAAUGGGGGAAACCCUGAUGCAGCAACGCCGCGUGAGUGAUGACGGCCUUCGGGUUGUAAAGCUCUGUCUUCAGGGACGAUAAUGACGGUACCUGAGGAGGAAGCCACGGCUAACUACGUGCCAGCAGCCGCGGUAAUACGUAGGUGGCGAGCGUUGUCCGGAUUUACUGGGCGUAAAGGGAGCGUAGGCGGACUUUUAAGUGAGAUGUGAAAUACUCGGGCUCAACUUGAGUGCUGCAUUUCAAACUGGAAGUCUAGAGUGCAGGAGAGGAGAAUGGAAUUCCUAGUGUAGCGGUGAAAUGCGUAGAGAUUAGGAAGAACACCAGUGGCGAAGGCGAUUCUCUGGACUGUAACUGACGCUGAGGCUCGAAAGCGUGGG